Molecule: non-coding RNA, 72 nt
Organism: Bos taurus (domestic cattle)
Lineage: Eukaryota; Metazoa; Chordata; Mammalia; Artiodactyla; Bovidae
Source: Rfam
UCCCUGGUGGCUCAGUCGGUAAAGCGUCUGCCUGCAAUGCAGGAGACCCAGGUUUGAUUCCUGGGCCGGGAA